UGUCCUCGGUAUUCAGUGCCACCAG
This 25-nucleotide unclassified non-coding RNA is filed under the name Mus musculus (house mouse). RNAcentral describes it as "oocyte_clustered_small_RNA211". The record is from RNAcentral. Lineage: Eukaryota; Metazoa; Chordata; Mammalia; Rodentia; Muridae.